RNAcentral lists this small RNA (317 nucleotides) under Pongo abelii (Sumatran orangutan). RNAcentral's name for it is "processed transcript". The record is from RNAcentral. Lineage: Eukaryota; Metazoa; Chordata; Mammalia; Primates; Hominidae.
AUGAAAAAUCUCUUGCACCAUAUUCUAAGUGGGAAAGAGUUUGGCGUUGAAAGAAGUGAUACGAGGUCUCACCAUGCUGCCCAGGCUGGUCUUGAACUCCUGGGCUCAAGCAGUCUUCCCACCUCAGCCUCCCAAAGUGCUGGGAUUACAGGUGUGAGCCACCACGCCUGGCCUCGGUGCGCCCUAUCCACUCCUCCACAUCCAGCCCUGCCAUCUCCAUCCACGAGGUGGGCCAUACCGGAGUCACCAAAACUGAGAGGAGUGGCAUUAACAGACUGAGGAGUGAAAUGAAACAGAUGACUAGGCGGUUUAGUGCU